UACAGAGGGGGCAAGCGUUAUUCGGAAUUAUUGGGCGUAAAGGGCGCGUAGGCGGCUUUGCAAGUGGCGGGUGAAAAUCCCUCGGCUUAACCGAGGAACUGCCUGCCAGACUGCAAGGCUCGAGACCGGGAGAGGUGAGUGGAAUUCCCAGUGUAGCGGUGAAAUGCGUAGAUAUUGGGAGGAACACCAGUGGCGAAGGCGGCUCACUGGACCGGAACUGACGCUGAGGCGCGAAAGCGUGGGGAGCAAACAGG
This 254-nucleotide ribosomal RNA is filed under the name uncultured bacterium. Its description in RNAcentral is "partial 16S ribosomal RNA". It matches the Rfam family "Bacterial small subunit ribosomal RNA", at positions 524 to 776 of the family's 1533-position model. The record is from RNAcentral.